GACGAAGGGGGCUAGCGUUGUUCGGAAUUACUGGGCGUAAAGCGCACGUAGGCGGUUCGUUAUGUCGGAUGUGAAAGCCCUUGGCUUAACCGAGGAAGUGCAUCCGAAACUGGCGAGCUAGAGUACGAAAGAGGAUCGCGGAAUUCCCGGUGUAGAGGUGAAAUUCGUAGAUAUCGGGAGGAACACCGGUGGCGAAGGCGGCGAUCUGGGUCGAUACUGACGCUGAGGUGCGAAAGCGUGGGGGAGCAAACAGG
Molecule: ribosomal RNA, 254 nt
Filed under: uncultured bacterium
Lineage: Bacteria
Description: partial 16S ribosomal RNA
Rfam family: Bacterial small subunit ribosomal RNA
Source: RNAcentral